GAACUGCGAUAAGUGAUGUGAAUUGCAGACGUACACGAAUCAUCGAACCCUUGAACGCAUUCUGCGCCUCGAAGCUUGUCUUCGAGGCAUAUCUGGGUGAGUGUCGGUUUAACCUCCUUGCAUAAGCAAUUAUGCAGCUUUGAUAGUAAAAUUCGACUGAUUGAUUACGAUCAGAUGUAAUUUUUCUAUUAAAAUAAAUCGAUAUUCCAGAUUAGAGAUUUUUGGAAAAAUAGAGCACUCCUCUAGAUUAAAUAGAAGUAACUUUGAUUACUCUUCCUUAUCUUGACGACUUGCUUCUUAACAAAAAUUCUCUUGUCAAAGGUCUAUUUCUGUUUGUUAAAUUCAAACCUUCGACCUCACCUAGGUAAGACUACCCGCUGAAGUUAAGC
RNAcentral lists this unclassified non-coding RNA (389 nucleotides) under plant metagenome. Its description in RNAcentral is "partial contains 5.8S ribosomal RNA, internal transcribed spacer 2, and large subunit ribosomal RNA". The stretch from base 1 to 106 matches the Rfam family "5.8S ribosomal RNA", at positions 50 to 154 of the family's 154-position model. The record is from RNAcentral.